Molecule: long non-coding RNA, 3457 nt
Organism: Phragmites australis (common reed)
Lineage: Eukaryota; Viridiplantae; Streptophyta; Magnoliopsida; Poales; Poaceae
Exons: 4
Source: RefSeq, a predicted model, not a curated record
GGCACGCGACGCUGGGGCUUGACGGCUGGGGUGUGUGGAGGCUCGACAGCUCGAGUGCCGCUAAGGCGCUGCGCUGAGGCCCUGGUGCGGUGGUGCUAGGGCUUGAUCGAGGCAGGUGGGGACUGCACGUGGUUGAGCUCGGGCACGACAACCACGAAGAGGAUGAUGGGAUCAGUGCCAAACCCUCAUCUUGCUUGGCUCCUUGAAGGGUAAGUUUGCCCACCUCUCCCUCACCAGUGCAUAGUGGGCUUUGGCUACUUGUGCUCCAUUAGUUCUAAUUGUAGAGGUGUCAUAGUUGGGGAAAAAUAUACAAUGUUCUUGGUGUACUAUAGAGGUAUUAGACUUCUGUUGGGUGGAAAAUACUAAAAUUCUUCUAGAAUCAUUGCAUAUUAUUUGCAGGAUGGAUCCUAAUUCUACCUACUUACUAGAAAUCAAACUUGUUAGCAACCAAAAGGCUAGGCCAGAGUUCAGUUGUUUUAGCUUCACAAAAGUUUUAGAUUCUGACACAACAAAUUUCAUAGACUUUGUUAAAUCGGUCGUAGAUAAGUACCCGCCAGACUAUAAGGAAGUUUGCAUUGUUUAGUACUAUGAUGCUACUUCGAAAGCCUUUCCACAAGUCAAAACAGACCAAGAUCUGCGAUCAAUGUUUGACAAACCUGCUGAGAGAAAGGAGGUGCUCAUGCUCAUUUCAUACUAUGAUCCCUCAGGACUAGCUCCACUUAUCACAAAGUGGUCCAUUUCACCACUUGAAAAGGGGUAUAGUGAUGGUCAUGAUGUCCCAUCCUAGCAACAAGAUGAGGAUAAUUAUCUAGUAAACCCAUUACUAGAUAAUGAGCAUGUGGGUGUUGAUGAGGAGUGUACGUACUUAGACAAGAAACCUUCAGAUGCUAUACUGGUUGCUACUAGACUUGACAAGGACAAUGUUCCAAUGGAGUGUUCUGAUUCUAGGUCUGAGUAUGAGGAGGAUUAUGAUUGUGGUUCUAAGUCCGAGUCAGAGGAAGAGGUUGAGGAGGAUUUGGUAGGAAAAGACUCUUUGCAAGAUGAUAUAGCAAAUGUUGAUUAUGAUUAAGAAGACCCACCAAUGACAGCAGGCAACAUAUAUCCUAAUAUUGAAGAAUUUAAGUUGGCAUUAGCUCAACAUGCAGUGAAAUAUGAGUUUGAAUAUAACACUGAAAAGAGUGAACCAGGGAGCUUCAGGGCCUAUUGUUCAAGGAAACUUGAAGAUAAUUGCCCCUGGAGAAUACAUACUUCUACAACAUAUGACAAAGUCACUAUCAAGGUAAUGACAUGCUUCACUUCUUCAUAUUUGUCUUAAUUGUAUUCCCCUUCUUUACACUUAUAAUUGUUCUAUUUCACAUAUGAAUGUGAAGAAGAACCCUUCAGGCCAUGAAUGCACAAGCACAAGAACUAAAAAGUUGAGGAAUACAACAAAAUAUUGGGUGUGUUAGAAGGUGAAAGACUGGUUCAUUGAAGAUGCAACUGUAGGGGCAAAUGAACUGCAGAGGAGACUUAAAGACAAACACAAGGUGAAGGUUCACUACAAAAGAGUCUACAUGGGUAAACAGCUAGCACUGAAUCAACUAUAUGAUGAUUGGGAUGGUAGUUUUGACAACCUGUAUAAGUUUAAGGCAGAAAUUGAGAGGUCAUCUUCUGGUAGCUUUGUAGUCAUUGAUCAUUACACCAUAAAUGACAAGAUUAGAUUUAGGAGGUUGUUCUUUGCUUUGAAACCAUGCAUAGAAAGAUUCAUUAGUGGCUGCAGGCCAUAUUUGGCAAUAGAUAGCACAUUCUUGAUAGGCAUGUUUAAGGGUCAGUUGGCUAUUGCUGUUGCUGUCGAUGGAUAUAACUGGAUGUAUCCAGUCGCUUUUGGUGUGAUGGAUUAUGAAACUAAUGACAACUGGAUCUGGUUCAUGUAAAGGCUUAAGGAGGCCAUAGGAUCACCACGUGGCUUUGCCAUAUGCACUAAUGCUGGACAAGCAGUGAUGGGAGGAGUCAAAGAAGUGUUCCCAAAUGUAGAGCAUAGGGAAUGCAUAUACCACUUGGUUCAAAACUUCAAGAAGAAGUUCUAUGGAAAGGUGUUUGAUGAUCAUCUUUGGGUAGCAACUUACUCGUGGCACCCACAUUUCUUUGAGAAACAUUGGGCUGCAAUGAAGAAUGCAAAACCAGCUGCAAUGGAUUAUUUAAGGAAGUGCUACACUAGACUAUGAACUAGAAGCCAGUUCUCAACCCUUUGCAAGGUGGACUAUGUGACCAACAAUUUAGUAGAGAGCUUUAACAGCUGGAUAAAACACUACAAGAGCUUGAACUUGGAUGACUUCAUGGAUAAGAUCAGACAAUUACUUAUGAUCAAGUGAGAACAAAUGAGAAAGGUUACCAUGAAGCUUAGAGGUCUGAUUCUGCCGCAUAUAGUUAACAGGUUGAAGGAAAGGAGCCGGGACUUAGACUUGGAAGUCAUGAAAUGCUCAGAUGAAGCUGCCGAAAUUUCUGUAAUGGGAGGCAAUGGCUUAAGAUUUGUGGUGAAGUUACAUGAAAAGACAUGUUCUUGUAGAGAAUGGCAAGUUUCAGUCAUCCCUUGUGUCCAUGCUAUAUCAUUCAUCACCUCCCUUAACAAUGUGCUUCUAGACAACUAUGUGGACUUGUUUUAUUCUGUAGAGAAGUUUCAAGCUACAUAUGCUCAACUAAUCCCUUGCUUUGCCAGACAAGUCACAAUGGCCUAAAUCUUGCUAUGAUUUCUUCAUGCAUCCACCUCUUUUGAAAGCCACAGCUGGAAGGAGAAAGAACCAGAGGUUCAGAGGCUGUACUGAGAGCAAGGGUACCACAACAAGGAAUCAAGUGUAGCAUCAAUGCCCUAUUUAUAAAGACUAUGGGCAUCACUGGAAGGUGACCUAGAGGACAUUACAGCUAUGAUGGCUAUAACAGGACCACCAAAGAAAAGGAAGAGGCCACUAAAGCAUCCACCGAGACAAGCAUGGUCACUUUUGAGGAUGAAGCACCAACACUCUCUAUGACUUUUCCACCAAGCCAAAACAUUGAACCUUCUACUAAGAAAAAAAAGGAAAAGUCGAUGCAUCAGAUUUCAGAAGAUCAAUCAGGUUAGACAAUGGUUCAAAUCAACCCGAGGCUCUUUCCAUUGAGUAUCCAGUGCCAAUGUCAGGUGAUGAAACACAAGCUACUGCUGCUGCUUCUGCUCCCACAGUAAGAAAGAAGAAAAAGGUUAAAGGGAAGGCAAAGAAGGUGAAUCCUGAGAUGCUGUGUGAUAGCCCUGCAAUGGGCACAGGAAGCAAAAAAACCAUAAACAACUAGCCCUACAAUGGCCACUAGAAACAAAAGAAGGCUCAGUUUAUGAACCUGAUGCAAUGUGUGAUGUCAGCUCCUUUUGCUUGGUGUGAGAAGCUGUCUAAAUAAUAUUCUAGUUAAUCAUUAUAUCGAUCAUUAACAUAAUCAUGACUACAAUGAUUAA